This 613-nucleotide long non-coding RNA is filed under the name Capra hircus (goat). RNAcentral describes it as "lncRNA (ENSCHIG00000002353.1)". The record is from RNAcentral. Lineage: Eukaryota; Metazoa; Chordata; Mammalia; Artiodactyla; Bovidae.
AAGGAAUUCAAGCUCAGUCCACAUAGAGUUUUCAUAAAUAAUGAUGCUGCUGAUGUCAUAAUGGUGACUGCCACACAGCAACACAAAAUCCAUCUUGACCCACCUGACCCAAGGACCAAUUAAAGCACUUCACACAUAUUCAUUCAUUUACUUCCCAGAGCAGCCCAGGACAGGCGCUCCUAUUGGCUCCAUUUGACACACGAGGACCUUAUGAGGUGCUUAGUCUCACCAGGGCAGACCCAGGCUUCUAGCAGCAAAUCCAGGAGGCUUGUCCUGGCUUGAAAUAUGAGAAGCCCAGAGAAAGAGAAACUUGGCAGAAAUGUUUCCAUAUGCCAACUUGAAACAAAUGCACAACCUCUUUGAAAGCCUUCACUAUGUGGUGACUGUGGAAGGGAAGAGUAAUGAGAAUUGUCAUUAAUGAAGGGUUAACACACUGACAGCAUCAUUGAGGCGAUGGACAUAAGUUUGAGUAGGCUCCGGGAGUUGGUGAUGGACAGGGAAGCCUGGCGUGCUGCAGUCCAUAGGGUCACAAAGAGUUGGACGUGACUGAGGGACUGAACUGAGCCUAUUUAUUUAAAAUGUCAUCUUAAAAAAUAAAAAACUUUAAUUAAAG